This 253-nucleotide ribosomal RNA is filed under the name uncultured bacterium. RNAcentral's name for it is "partial 16S ribosomal RNA". It matches the Rfam family "Bacterial small subunit ribosomal RNA", at positions 524 to 776 of the family's 1533-position model. The record is from RNAcentral.
UACGUAGAUGGCAAGCGUUGUCCGGAAUUAUUGGGCGUAAAGCGCGCGCAGGCGGUCCUUUAAGUCUGAUGUGAAGGCCCACGGCUCAACCGUGGAGGGUCAUUGGAAACUGGGGGACUUGAGUACAGAAGAGAAGAGUGGAAUUCCACGUGUAGCGGUGAAAUGCGUAGAGAUGUGGAGGAACACCAGUGGCGAAGGCGACUCUUUGGUCUGUAACUGACGCUGAGGCGCGAAAGCGUGGGGAGCAAACAGG